Molecule: ribosomal RNA, 253 nt
Filed under: uncultured bacterium
Lineage: Bacteria
Description: partial 16S ribosomal RNA
Rfam family: Bacterial small subunit ribosomal RNA
Source: RNAcentral
UACAGAGGGUGCAAACGUUGCUCGGAAUCACUGGGCGUAAAGGGCGUGUAGGCGGGAAGGAAAGUCAGAUGUGAAAUCCCCAGGCUCAACCUGGGAACUGCAUUUGAAACUCCCUUUCUUGAGUACCGGAGAGGAAAGUGGAAUUCCUGGUGUAGAGGUGAAAUUCGUAGAUAUCAGGAGGAACACCAGUGGCGAAGGCGGCUUUCUGGACGGUAACUGACGCUGAGACGCGAAAGCGUGGGGAGCAAACAGG